ACGGCUCAGUAACGCGUGGACAACCUACCCAAAGGUCUGGGAUAACUCCGGGAAACUGGGGAUAAUACCGGAUAGGUCAAGAGUACUGGAAGGGUUUUUUGAUUGAAAGCUCUGGCGCCUUUGGAUGGGUCUGCGCCUGAUUAGGUUGACGCCGGUGUAAAGUACCGGCGUGCCGAUUAUCAGUACGGGUUGUGGGAGCAAGAGCCCGGAGAUGGAUUCUGAGACACGAAUCCAGGCCCUACGGGGCGCAGCAGGCGCGAAAACUCUACAAUGCAGGCAACUGCGAUAGGGGAACAUCGAGUGGCAUCUACAUUAGGUGUCUGUCCAGCUGUCUAAAAAACGGCUGUUAGCAAGGGCCGGGCAAGACCGGUGCCAGCCGCCGCGGUAAUACCGGCGGCUCGAGUGGUGGCCGAUAUUAUUGAGUCUAAAGGGUCCGUAGCCGGCUUUGCAAGUCUUGUGGGAAAUCCAGCGGCUUAACCGUUGGGCGUCUGCGGGAUACUACAUUGCUUGGGACUGGGAGAGGUAGGAGGUACUCAGGGGGUAGGAGUGAAAUCCUGUAAUCCUCUGGGGACCACCGGUGGCGAAGGCGUCCUACCAGAACAGGUCCGACGGUGAGGGACGAAAGCUAGGGGCACGAACCGGACUAGAUACCCGGGUAGUCCUAGCCGUAAACGAUGCCCGCUAGGUGUCACGGCAGUCGUGAACUGCCGUGGUGCCGUAGGGAAGCCGUGAAGCGGGCCACUUGGGAAGUACGACCGCAAGGUUGAAACUUAAAGGAAUUGGCGGGGGAGCAC
This 794-nucleotide ribosomal RNA is filed under the name uncultured Methanosarcinaceae archaeon. RNAcentral describes it as "bacterial SSU rRNA". It matches the Rfam family "Archaeal small subunit ribosomal RNA", at positions 85 to 879 of the family's 1478-position model. The record is from RNAcentral. Lineage: Archaea; Methanobacteriati; Methanobacteriota; Methanomicrobia; Methanosarcinales; Methanosarcinaceae.